RNAcentral lists this ribosomal RNA (180 nucleotides) under Pilosibacter sp. RNAcentral describes it as "partial 23S ribosomal RNA". It matches the Rfam family "Bacterial large subunit ribosomal RNA", at positions 2744 to 2925 of the family's 2925-position model. The record is from RNAcentral. Lineage: Bacteria; Bacillati; Bacillota; Clostridia; Eubacteriales; Clostridiaceae.
GGUAGCCAAGUCUGGCAGGGAUAAACGCUGAAGGCAUCUAAGCGUGAAGCCCCCCUCAAGAUGAGAUAUCCCAUUCGAAAGAAGUAAGACCCCUUGAAGACGACGAGGUAGAUAGGGCAGAGGUGGAAGUGCAGUAAUGUAUGGAGCUGACUGUUACUAAUCGGUCGAGGGCUUAUCCAG